RNAcentral lists this ribosomal RNA (301 nucleotides) under uncultured bacterium. RNAcentral describes it as "partial 16S ribosomal RNA". It matches the Rfam family "Bacterial small subunit ribosomal RNA", at positions 509 to 807 of the family's 1533-position model. The record is from RNAcentral.
CAGUAGCCACGGUAAAACGGAGGGUGCAAGCGUUAAUCGGAAUUACUGGGCGUAAAGCGUGCGUAGGCGGUUCGUUAAGUCUGUUGUGAAAGCCCCGGGCUCAACCUGGGAAUGGCAAUGGAUACUGGCGAGCUAGAGUGUGUCAGAGGAUGGUGGAAUUCCCGGUGUAGCGGUGAAAUGCGUAGAGAUCGGGAGGAACAUCAGUGGCGAAGGCGGCCAUCUGGGACAACACUGACGCUGAGGCACGAAAGCGUGGGGAGCAAACAGGAUUAGAGACCCGUGUAGUCCCUGUCUCUUAUAC